UAUAAAAUGAUGGACCUGUGGUUUUUUUAAUGUAGUAGCAGUGGGUGUCUGUGGAGGAGUGAAGAGGUUCAUUCUCUCCUUUUAAGUGAGUUACAAGGUCCAGACUUAGAUCGUUAGGUUUAUGCUACUAAAACAGAACUUACACUGUCAAGCUGGCAGCGCAGGUGGUUUAUGUGCUGAGCCAUCUCAUCAGUCCUAUGUCACUCACACAGGACAGAAAAUAUUUUACCAAUAUGUACUAAGUUAUCUGACAAUGUAUAAGAAAAAUGAACAUGAGGCUAUUAAAAGUUAAUAAGUGUCAAAAAUGUUACAUAGGAAAGACAUUCUUCUCCCUCUUCUCCAUUCUGGUCUCCCUGGUCUUGCUACUGCCUUCUUUAGGACCCCCUCCUCUCAGCCUGUCUCUUUUCCUUUGGCAGACCCCUGCCUGCUACCCCUGCCUACCAAAAACCCUAUAGCAACUGAGUAGCCAAGACCCAGGUGGACUAACCUAUGUUCUCCCUUCUUCCUCCAUUACGGUUCCCCUGUAAGGAUGUAACACUAUUAUCUAUGAUAGAUAAUACUCUCAUACUUCUCCCACCCUUUGCAACUCAUGGUACCCCAGCUCUGCCUCCUACAAGGACCUUGUCGCAACUAUAUGAGGUAGUCCUAGCUUUGUUCUCCUUCCUCUUCUGUCCAGUUGUCCACAUCACAUCUAACUUCCAGUUCAUGACUGAAUCCCACAUCCUGUGCCUAGCUCCAAUCAAGUAAAAUCCCUGAACCAAUGUUUACCUGCACCCUGCCUCCAACAUCCAUACAUAGCAAUAGUUGCACACUGUCUGUACAAUUCUGUCUGAUCAGUCUUGCUACACUUUACUUCAAGCUCUAGGCUUGGCUCUUAACCAAUAAACCAGUCCUGAUUGAUCAGCUCUCCUGACGCUUACCUACUCCUACCACAUCAAAUAUCCAGGCCUACCCUUGAGAGCAUACCAUAUACUGAGGUGUAGUUUUGUAAGUUUGCUGAACUCUAGCUCACAUGCACCCUCUGAGUGUCCAGACAUAUCUCUGGUCACACAUCUAUGUGAGGUUUAAGCCUUAUGCUUCCCUAGAACCACAUCUGCCCUCCGCAUCCCAAGCUAAAGCCUUGCUCAUAGUGACUGGAUAUGCUGUUCUGUGCAAGCCAGUCUAGAAACUCAUAGGAGACACAACACCAACAAAAGAAGUCCACAUGCCCAGGCCACAUUGAAAAAACAAACAUACAAUAUGGAAGGCCAAGACAGUAUACUUUCCACAAAGUCCACCACUCAAAUACAACUGUUUUCCAAUGAGAAUAACCUAGAUCAAUCCUAGAACACAAAAAAAAUUAGAAGAAAAAAAAACCUCAAGGACUUUAAAGAAGACACAAAUAGCCCAAUAUACUUAAAUGAUGAACUUAAAGAAAAUAAAUGCCUGAGCAAUGCCCCAAAAACCAAAAUCAUAAGGCUGAAUAAAAUGACAAAGACAAUGUAGGAUUGUAAACAUCAAAUUCAGUACAGAUAAUAUUGAAUAAAACUCAAGCUGAAAUUAAGAUGAAAAUGAAAACCUCAAUAUUGUAGUUUUAAAACUCAGAUGUGGAGGAGGCUUGCCAGGAGAAUAACUCAAGCAGAAGAUAAAAUAACAAGACUCAAAAAUAAAAUAGAAGUUUUACAUCACACAAAAUCAAUGAUUAUAAAAAAUAGAAAUAAACACAGGAAAAGAAAGUUUAGGAGCUAUGGGAUAUCAUAAAAAGACCAAUCUUCAAAUUAUAGGCACAGAUGAAGGAGAAGCAUUCCAGGUCAAUGGCUUAAAUCACAUCAUCAGCAAAGUCAGAGAAAACUUUCCCAUUCUAAGGCAAGGUACCCAUACAGAUACAAGAAGCACAGGAGCACCAAACCAAAAAGAAUGCCCCUCAUGUCAUAUUACAGUUAAAACAAUAAAUAUAAAGAAAAAGAAAGGGUAUUGAAAGCUGCAACAAAACAAACACACACACACACACACACACACACACACACACACAAACCAACAUCAGAAUAACAGCUGUUUUAUCGUUAGGAAUUUAAAAGCUUUAAGAGUUCUAAAAGAACACAAGUGCCAACUUAGUUUAGUGUACCCAGCAAAACAUCCUCCACAGAUGACAGAGAAGGAAAAACUGUGCAUGGUAUAAACAGGCUAAAAGAAAUACAUACAUGUAAGCAGGCCCUGCAGAAGUGAUAUUUCAGAUUGAAGAGAGGAAUAAGUAUAGACAUGAGACUGAAGAAAAAAAAACAAGUGAUAAUACAAUUGUUGAAACACAAAAUACAGCUAGAAAUACAUGCAGCAAAUAGAAAAAAAUAAUAAAAUGUUAUCAACAAACACUUUCAAUAAUAAUUUUAAAUAUUUAUGUCCUUAGCAGUCAAAAAAAAAAAAAAGACACAGGCUAACUUAAUGGAUGAAGAAACAAAACUACAUUCUUGUUGUCUACAAGAAUAUCUGCUUUAAAUGUGCACAACCUUAAAGUGAAAAAACAGAAAAAAAGAGGACUUCAAACAAGUAAAAACUUUAAUAUUCCAAUAUUCAAAAAUUAGACUUCAAACCAAAAUUAAUCAAACUAGAUUAAAAAAAAAAACCAUUUCAUUCUAAUUAAGAGAAUGAUUACUCAAAAAGACACUACAAUCCUAAGCAUAUACACAUCAAACUUUGUGGUACUCUAGUUCUUAUAAAGCAAACUCCUGAAUUUAAAGGCACAGAUUAACACAAAAUACAUUAAGAGUAAGUGAUUGUACUUUCUCCAGUAGACUGGUAAUCUGGACAAAAAAAUAAAGAAAGAACCAUCAAGGUUAAAUUAUACCAUAGAUCAAAUGGACCUGACACAUCUACAGAAUAGUCCAUCCAAAUCUC
This 2871-nucleotide long non-coding RNA is filed under the name Mus musculus (house mouse). RNAcentral describes it as "long non-coding RNA chr13:17258770-17261641". Lineage: Eukaryota; Metazoa; Chordata; Mammalia; Rodentia; Muridae. The record is from RNAcentral.